RNAcentral lists this transfer RNA (94 nucleotides) under Nitrososphaerales archaeon. RNAcentral's name for it is "tRNA-Asp". The record is from RNAcentral. Lineage: Archaea; Thermoproteati; Nitrososphaerota; Nitrososphaeria; Nitrososphaerales.
GCCCUGGUAGUAUAGCCUGGCCUAGUAUGCGGGCCUGUCACGCCUGCGGCCCGGGUUCAAAAGGUCUUUCGACCGGAAAGUCCCGGCCAGGGCG